Molecule: long non-coding RNA, 242 nt
Organism: Melanotaenia boesemani (Boeseman's rainbowfish)
Lineage: Eukaryota; Metazoa; Chordata; Actinopteri; Atheriniformes; Melanotaeniidae
Exons: 3
Source: RefSeq, a predicted model, not a curated record
GAACAAAAAUUGGCAGACCCGGUCUUCCUGAAAGAAGUGGUUGCUGUUGUGGCAGAAAUUGGAGGGAGCACUGCUGAUGAAGCCACCAGAAGAAUGAUGGCCUUCAUUAUGGACAACACUCUAUCCAGACAGUACAACUUUGUUGGGCGCCAUGGAAAGCGUGAAUUUGGAAGGCUGAAACUUUUUGAAGUACUAUAUGGCAGCUUGAAAAAAAAUGCUCUUACCUGCCAAAUUACUCGAAA